GAUAGUCGUAAUUAAAUAUUUUGGAUAGAUUUAAUUUUUGAAUGAAACACUUCCUUCUCGUUCAUUGCAUUAUCUGUUGCACUUCAAAUGCACAUAUUUAUGUUUAUCUGUUGUAGGGUUGCCAUACAACAAGUAUUAUUCGAAAUUGUAGGUAUUUUGGCUGUCAUUCCAGGAAAACUUUGUAUAGUUUUGAUAUACUUUAAGUAUUGAUUUUUGGAAAAUAUAAUAUUUUAGAGACAUGAUAACAAAUGUUAUCAUAGGUUUUUUAAGGCUGUUCUGGAAUGAUAUUUGUUAGGUUUUGUUUACUUCAAGGUCUGAUACAGAAACUGGAGUAAUUUUCAUUUAAUGAAUUAGAGUAUUUUAUUGUUUAUUCGUUUGCCACCCGGCUUUUGUUUUGGGUCCUUUAAAUUCGAGAUCAUUCAGUGCGCCGUUCUUUCUGUGACGAGAUCCUCUUGUAUAGUGAUCGGACGGCCGUAUAAGGGCCUGGAGCCCGGCAUGCCACGUGCUGCCGUGGCGUUCCAUAUUUUGUGUGGUGCGUUCUGUCAGUCUGACUGGCAGAAACAUGCUAAGGGUGGGAGUGCUCCUUGGAGAUCCUCGGUCUGCAGUCUGCAGGUCUCCGGAGUCGGGAAGAAGUAAAGAAUUAGAGAAUUGCAGAAGUA
Leguminivora glycinivorella is the source of this 659-nucleotide long non-coding RNA. RefSeq lists it as uncharacterized. Lineage: Eukaryota; Metazoa; Arthropoda; Insecta; Lepidoptera; Tortricidae. The transcript has 3 exons. The record is from RefSeq and is a predicted model, not a curated record.